AUAAGAGCAUGUGGUGGAUGCCUUGGCGAUGAUAGGCGACGAAGGACGUGAUAGCCUGCGAUAAGCUUCGGGGAGCUGGCAAAUUAGCUUUGAUCCGGAGAUUUCCGAAUGGGGAAACCCACCGAAAGGUAUCGCAUACUGAAUACAUAGGUAUGCGAGGCGAACCGGGUGAACUGAAACAUCUCAGUAGCUCGAGGAAAAGACAUCAACCGAGAUUCCGAAAGUAGUGGCGAGCGAAAUCGGAAGAGCCUGUUAGUGAUAGCACGACUCUUAACGGAACAGUCUGGAAAGGCUGGCCAUAGCAGGUGAUAGCCCUGUACGUGAAAAGAGACGUGUGGUACUAAGCUAACGAAAAGUAGGGCGGGACACGAGAAAUCCUGUCUGAAUAUGGGGGGACCAUCCUCCAAGGCUAAAUACUCAUCAUCGACCGAUAGUGAACUAGUACCGUGAGGG
This 453-nucleotide ribosomal RNA is filed under the name uncultured bacterium. RNAcentral's name for it is "bacterial LSU rRNA". It matches the Rfam family "Bacterial large subunit ribosomal RNA", at positions 1 to 509 of the family's 2925-position model. The record is from RNAcentral.